Molecule: ribosomal RNA, 267 nt
Filed under: uncultured Staphylococcus sp.
Lineage: Bacteria; Bacillati; Bacillota; Bacilli; Caryophanales; Staphylococcaceae
Description: partial 16S ribosomal RNA
Rfam family: Bacterial small subunit ribosomal RNA
Source: RNAcentral
UGCCAGCCGCCGCGGUAAUACGUAGGUGGCAAGCGUUAUCCGGAAUUAUUGGGCGUAAAGCGCGCGUAGGCGGUUUUUUAAGUCUGAUGUGAAAGCCCACGGCUCAACCGUGGAGGGUCAUUGGAAACUGGAAAACUUGAGUGCAGAAGAGGAAAGUGGAAUUCCAUGUGUAGCGGUGAAAUGCGCAGAGAUAUGGAGGAACACCAGUGGCGAAGGCGACUUUCUNGGUCUGUAACUGACGCUGAUGUGCGAAAGCGUGGGGAUCAA